AAAGAUCGCAGCCUGCGGCAGCUCCUACAGGGGAUCGAUGUACACCCUGUAGGAGCUGCCGCAGGCUGCGAUCUUU
RNAcentral lists this unclassified non-coding RNA (76 nucleotides) under Pseudomonas umsongensis. The record is from RNAcentral. Lineage: Bacteria; Pseudomonadati; Pseudomonadota; Gammaproteobacteria; Pseudomonadales; Pseudomonadaceae.